CUGGUCUGUAACUGACGCUGAGGCUCGAAAGUAUGGGUAGCAAACAGGAUUAGAUACCUGGUAGUCCAUACCGUAAACGAUGAAUGCUAAGUGUUGGAGGGUUCCGCCUUUCAGUGCUGCAGCUAACGCAUUAAGCAUUCCGCCUGGGGAGUACGGCCACAAGGCUGAAACUCAAAGGAAUUGACGGGGGCCCGCACAAGCGGUGGAGCAUGUGGUUUAAUUCGAAGCUACGCGAAGAACCUUACCAGGUCUUGACAUACUAUGCAAUCUAAGAGAUUAGACGUCCCUUCGGGGACAUGGAUACAGGUGGUGCAUGGUUGUCGUCAGCUCGUGUCGUGAGAUGUUGGGUUAAGUCCCGCAACGAGCGCAACCCUUAUUAUCAGUUGCCAGCAUUAAGUUGGGCACUCUGGUGAGACUGCCGGUGACAAACCGGAGGAAGGUGGGGAUGACGUCAAAUCAUCAUGCCCCUUAUGACCUGGGCUACACACGUGCUACAAUGGAUGGUACAACGAGUUGCGAACUCGCGAGAGUAAGCUAAUCUCUUAAAGCCAUUCUCAGUUCGGAUUGUAGGCUGCAACUCGCCUACAUGAAGUCGGAAUCGCUAGUAAUCGCGGAUCAGCAUGCCGCGGUGAAUACGUUCCCGGGCCUUGUACACACCGCCCGUCACACCAUGAGAGUUUGUAACACCCAAAGCCGGUGAGAUAACCUUCGGGAGUCAGCCGUCUAAGGUGGGACAGAUGAUUAGGGUGAAGUCGUAACAAGGUAACCA
This 769-nucleotide ribosomal RNA is filed under the name uncultured Lactobacillus sp. RNAcentral describes it as "bacterial SSU rRNA". It matches the Rfam family "Bacterial small subunit ribosomal RNA", at positions 729 to 1502 of the family's 1533-position model. Lineage: Bacteria; Bacillati; Bacillota; Bacilli; Lactobacillales; Lactobacillaceae. The record is from RNAcentral.